Molecule: long non-coding RNA, 380 nt
Organism: Cygnus olor (mute swan)
Lineage: Eukaryota; Metazoa; Chordata; Aves; Anseriformes; Anatidae
Exons: 3
Source: RefSeq, a predicted model, not a curated record
UUGGGCUGCAGGAUGAAGAGCUUCUGCAGAGGAGAGGAUGGCUGGAGGAAGAGGAGUUGCUUAGGGUAUGGAUUAAGGCCCUGCAAGAGUCUGGAGGGAAGGCUGCUGUGGGGUUCCAGCAUCCUUGCCUGGUUUGGAAAACAGCUGGUUAGACGACAAGGGAAUUUGAUUGCAUCAAGCAUCUUGCUACCCAAAGUGCAAAUGGGGCUGUGUAAAGUGCCUGGUCCUCCCCACUCGUGAAGACCUGCCAGCAUCUGAGGCUGUUCACAACUUCCCAAAAGUCAAUCCAUGUGAGAUGAAGUUGCUUGGGGCAAACCAAGGCUUUUUUUUUUUUUAAUUUCUGUUGGCUGUCAUUCACAAAUAAAGUCAAUUUUCACUGA